RNAcentral lists this ribosomal RNA (380 nucleotides) under uncultured eukaryote. Its description in RNAcentral is "partial 18S ribosomal RNA". It matches the Rfam family "Eukaryotic small subunit ribosomal RNA", at positions 592 to 976 of the family's 1831-position model. The record is from RNAcentral.
CAAUAGCGUAUAUUAAAGUUGUUGCGGUUAAAAAGCUCGUAGUUGGAUUUCUGCUGAGAACGACCGGUCCGCCCUUUGGGUGUGUAUCUGGCUCUUUCUUGGCAUCUUCUUGGUGAACGUUGCUGCACUUGACUGUGUGGAGCGCUACCCAGGACUUUUACUUUGAGGAAAUUAGAGUGUUUCAAGCAGGCAUACGCCUUGAAUACAUUAGCAUGGAAUAAUAAGAUAGGACCUCGGUUCUAUUUUGUUGGUUUCUAGAGCUGAGGUAAUGAUUAAUAGGGAUAGUUGGGGGCAUUCGUAUUUAACUGUCAGAGUUGAAAUUCUUGGAUUUGUUAAAGACUGACUACUGCGAAAGCAUUUGCCAAGGAUGUUUUCAUUGA